Bos taurus (domestic cattle) is the source of this 72-nucleotide non-coding RNA. The record is from Rfam. Lineage: Eukaryota; Metazoa; Chordata; Mammalia; Artiodactyla; Bovidae.
UCCCUGGUGGCUCAGACCGUAAAGCGUCUGCCUACAAUGCGGGAGACCCGGGUUCAAUCCCUGGGUUGGGAA